RNAcentral lists this ribosomal RNA (530 nucleotides) under Fusarium culmorum. RNAcentral's name for it is "SSU rRNA". It matches the Rfam family "Bacterial small subunit ribosomal RNA", at positions 379 to 858 of the family's 1533-position model. The record is from RNAcentral. Lineage: Eukaryota; Fungi; Ascomycota; Sordariomycetes; Hypocreales; Nectriaceae.
ACACCAUAGGGCUGGCCGUCCCAUAUGAAAAGAUUUUAUUAGAAUUGAAUGAAACUUUGUUUAUAUAUUGAUAAUGACAGUAUAUAUAUCGUGUCUUGACUAAUUGCGUGCCAGCAGUCGCGGUAAUACGUAAGAGACUAGUGUUAUUCAUCUUAAUUAGGUUUAAAGGGUACCCAGACGGUCUAUAUAGCUUAUAAAAUGUUAGUAUAAGACUAGAGUUUUAUGUAAGAGGGCAGUACUUGAGGAGGAGAGAUGAAAUUUCGUGAUACCAAAGGGACUCUGUAAAGGCGAAGGCAGCCCUCUAUGUAAAAACUGACGUUGAAGGACGAAGGCACAGAGAACAAACAGGAUUAGAUACCCAAGUAGUCUUUGCAGUAAAUGAUGAAUGCCAUAGGUUAGAUCUAUAUUUCUAUUAUAAUAAUACAUUUCUAUUAUUUAUUAUAAAACGCAUUCCUUAUAUAGCUUCGCGCUAUAAUAUAUUUUAUAUAUAGUGCAGCAGAAAUUUUUGUAUCUGGUCUAUAAAUGAAAGU